This 94-nucleotide non-coding RNA is filed under the name unclassified sequences. Its description in RNAcentral is "PhotoRC-II RNA". It matches the Rfam family "PhotoRC-II RNA". The record is from RNAcentral.
UAACGCUUCAAACACCCCGCAAACCGAGACCUCUAGGGUGUCUAAAUUACGUCUCUCAUAUCCUGUCUAAGGGUGACAGGAAAUAGUAACUCCA